Molecule: ribosomal RNA, 253 nt
Filed under: uncultured bacterium
Lineage: Bacteria
Description: partial 16S ribosomal RNA
Rfam family: Bacterial small subunit ribosomal RNA
Source: RNAcentral
UACGUAGGGUGCGAGCGUUGUCCGGAAUUAUUGGGCGUAAAGGGCUCGUAGGCGGUUUGUCGCGUCGGGAGUGAAAACCUUGGGCUUAACUCAGGGCUUGCUUUCGAUACGGGCAGACUAGAGGUAUGCAGGGGAGAACGGAAUUCCUGGUGUAGCGGUGAAAUGCGCAGAUAUCAGGAAGAACACCGAUGGCGAAGGCAGCUCUCUGGGACGGUACUGACGCUGAGGCGCGAAAGCGUGGGGAGCGAACAGG